Non-coding RNA from Gossypium raimondii (Peruvian cotton), 106 nucleotides. The record is from Rfam. NCBI's taxonomy places the organism in Eukaryota, Viridiplantae, Streptophyta, Magnoliopsida, Malvales, Malvaceae.
AUCCCAUGAUGAGGACACUUACAAAGUAAUUCCUUGAAUCUUUCUCAUGCCUCGUACAAGGAUUCAUCAUCCAAUCGUGAAAAAGUGGUUAUCUCGUUUCGUGACU